AUGAACGCUGGCGGCGUGCCUAAUACCUGCAAGUCGAGCGAACAGACGAGGAGCUUGCUCCUUUGACGUUAGCGGCGGACGGGUGAGUAACACGUGGAUAACCUACCUAUAAGACUGGGAUAACUUCGGGAAACCGGAGCUAAUACCGGAUAACAUGUUGAACCGCAUGGUUCAACAGUGAAAGACGGUCUUGCUGUCACUUAUAGAUGGAUCCGCGCCGCAUUAGCUAGUUGGUAAGGUAACGGCUUACCAAGGCAACGAUGCGUAGCCGACCUGAGAGGGUGAUCGGCCACACUGGAACUGAGACACGGUCCAGACUCCUACGGGAGGCAGCAGUAGGGAAUCUUCCGCAAAGGGCGAAAGCCUGACGGAGCAACGCCGCGUGAGUGAAGAAGGUCUUCGGAUCGUAAAACUCUGUUAUUAGGGAAGAACAAAUGUGUAAGUAACUAUGCACGUCUUGACGGUACCUAAUCAGAAAGCCACGGCUAACUACGUG
This 496-nucleotide ribosomal RNA is filed under the name uncultured bacterium. Its description in RNAcentral is "partial 16S ribosomal RNA". It matches the Rfam family "Bacterial small subunit ribosomal RNA", at positions 29 to 507 of the family's 1533-position model. The record is from RNAcentral.